CCACGCUCUCCUCUUUCCCUUAUUCUUUCCGUACGCAAAUCCUACAAGAACAUUCUUGAAUUUGAAAUUCGAAUUUGGUACUAUUGCUAGCCGUUUGAACCAAGAAUUUGAAUGCAUUCUAGACCUCAUCCGAUUUCCCCCCCAAAAAUCCCCUCUAUUUAAACCCCCCUUUUACCUUCAAUUUUGGGGGAUGAUAAAAGAUAGAGGUUGGAAAAUACAAGAAAUUCACCAAGCAUAGACAGGCAAAAAUCCAAAUAGUGUUUAUAUCACUGAGAUUUCUGGGUCCUCUUCGAGUUUCCGUCGUUGGUGGUUGAAAUCAGCUCACCCAAGGUCGUCGUUGUUCCAGUGUAAAGGUAAUGUUUCCUCCAUAAUCUUCUCUUCGUCUUCUUCUAUUUCUAAUACUCUGUUGUUGUGUCAUUGUUAUUUGUAGAUGACUUCAAUUUUCUAUAUAUAUAAAUGUGUGUUUUCUUAAUCGAUUUUCUUGAUUCAAUCUUAAUGUGGAAGUCGGGUUUUGCCGUUUUGUAUUGUCGCUUCUUUGUUUGAAUCCGUUAUCGAUUACUAACUAUUCUUCUGGUAUGCUUGAUGAUAUGUCGUAGAAUCUCUCUUCUUCCGUUUUCAUUGUCUGUAAACCCAAGUUUUACAUUAAGUUUUGCUACUGUCAAUGAUGAUUUCUUUUCAAAAUAAGGAUAGCAUCUCGAAAGCGAAGGUUGUUUGUGUUUUAUCUAUUGUUUUGUUGAUGUAGUAGUUUGUUUUCAAAUCCCCUGUUCGUUCUACUGCUUAGUUUGAAUCAAAUUUGUGUUUCCAUCUGCCUAAAUUUUAGUCGAAAGUGCUCACCAUUUGUAGUUAAGCUCAUAAGGUGUUACUGAUUGUAGUUUGCUUCAAUUCUUGUUUUACUUUCACAGUCGUUGCCUAUUUCUCUUUUCUGAUCAUCUUGGCCUGCUCAUAUUUUCAAUCUUUCUAAGUCUUUGAAGUUUCGCUUUGUUAAAAGUUUGAGUUAAAUAAAAUAUAAUGGGUCAAUCUUGUUCUCUUAGGGUCACUAGUCCCUGCGUUGUUUUUUUCUUUAGCAUAUUUUUCUUUUUUAUUUUGGUUAGUAAUCCUCUUAUCUUGUUGGCCUUAUUGUUCAAUUCAUAAAAGAUUAGGAAGUGUUUCAACAGUUAUUUAAGUAUUAUAUGUUUACUUUUGUUUUAUUUGAAAUCUACUAAUCUAUCCUUUCCUUUCCUUAAAUUGGUCUCUUGUUUAUUUAUUACUAUAUAAUUUCCUAAAGCUCUUACCAUUUAAGUUUAAGCUUGUCUAAAUAAAAGUGACUUAAUGAAGUGUGCUAAAUAUUGCUUUCCCAAACUUAAUUUAUUUAUGACUUUUGGUGGGCUGUCGAUUUUUUUUUUGAUUCAGUUAUUAUGUAUGCCUCAUGUAUUUACUCCUCUGUUUUCUUUUUCUUUUCUUGGAUGCAUGUGAUGCUGAGUCCACUGGACUCCCCCUUUCUUCAUUUGCAUUGCAUUUUUGAGUCUAGGAGGCUCAAAUCUUAUUCUUGUCGAGUCUGAAAUUGAUAUACAGGGCCGGAGCAGAUGUAUACUUUAGUGUAUACACCAUAUACAAGCAUUGGAGGUGAAAACAGGUUGAUAUACAGCCCAUAUACAAUCAGUAUACACUGAUAUACAGGUUAAAAUAUAGAUAGUACAGGGC
Molecule: long non-coding RNA, 1680 nt
Filed under: Solanum tuberosum (potato)
Lineage: Eukaryota; Viridiplantae; Streptophyta; Magnoliopsida; Solanales; Solanaceae
Description: long non-coding RNA (STUB_LNC003916)
Source: RNAcentral